CUGCUCACUUUGGCAGCAUGUAUACUAAAAUUGGAAUGAUACAGAGAAGAUUAGAAUGGCCUCAGCAUAAGGAUGACAUGCAAAUUCAUGAAGCAUUCCAUAUAUUU
Cynocephalus volans (Philippine flying lemur) is the source of this 107-nucleotide small nuclear RNA. The record is from RefSeq and is a predicted model, not a curated record. Lineage: Eukaryota; Metazoa; Chordata; Mammalia; Dermoptera; Cynocephalidae.